This 80-nucleotide transfer RNA is filed under the name Streptomyces lavendofoliae. RNAcentral describes it as "tRNA-Thr". The record is from RNAcentral. Lineage: Bacteria; Bacillati; Actinomycetota; Actinomycetes; Kitasatosporales; Streptomycetaceae.
CCGACCGCUGGGCGCGGGCGCUGACCGGGCUGGUGGCCCGGCACGAACCGACCGCCGGGUUCGCGCUCCUGGCGCUCGGA